CAAGAGUGAACUAGCUAACUGAAAUCAUAGAAUUUCUUUAAAUUCAUGAUGUCGUAAGGGAAAAUAAUGAUAAUACCUUACUAUGAGUGUCGUCCAAAUCUGGUGCCAGAAGACUCGGUAAGACCAGAGACGCAAACGUUAAUCAUCUUAAACAGGCGUAAAGGGUUUGUAGGCAGCUUUCAUAUAGAAUAUAAUUACCCAAAUAAAGUAGUCUAAUUGAAAGCUAGAAUCAAAUAGAGGUUAUAGUGUAUAACGCCUAGAGGAGGGCUGAUAUCCGUAGAUCCUAGGCAGAAUACUCAGGGCGAAGGCCACUCUCCACUAAUGAUUGACGCUGAGAAACGAAGGUUAGGGUAGGAAAUAGGAUUAGAUACCCCGGUACUCCUUUCUGUAAACGAUGAAUGGUAGUCAUUAGUUUCUAAAAAUAACUAGAGGCGAAGUUAACACAAUAACCAUUCCGCCUUGUGAGUACUACUGCAAAGUAGAAAACAAAAAAAUUAGUCGGUCUCGAAGCAAACGGAGUGAAGCAUGUUAUUUAAUACGAUAAUCCGCG
This 550-nucleotide ribosomal RNA is filed under the name Macroporia tibetica. RNAcentral describes it as "SSU rRNA". It matches the Rfam family "Bacterial small subunit ribosomal RNA", at positions 378 to 963 of the family's 1533-position model. The record is from RNAcentral. Lineage: Eukaryota; Fungi; Basidiomycota; Agaricomycetes; Polyporales; Polyporaceae.